AAUCAGCUGCUGGUAAAUAAUUGAAAAGGAGUGUAAAAAGAGAAAGGUGAAUAUUCUGUUGGUACCAGCACACUUCAAGAACUCAAGACUGAAUCACAUAAAAAAAAAUUGCAUCCUGCAUCAAUAGGAAUUGGUAUUCUGAUUCAUAAUGGAAUAAAAUCUAUAUGACAGAUCAAGCAAAUGGAUUUCAAUUCAGCAUCCACAGG
Molecule: long non-coding RNA, 206 nt
Filed under: Mytilus galloprovincialis (Mediterranean mussel)
Lineage: Eukaryota; Metazoa; Mollusca; Bivalvia; Mytilida; Mytilidae
Source: RNAcentral